Molecule: non-coding RNA, 126 nt
Organism: Brachypodium distachyon (stiff brome)
Lineage: Eukaryota; Viridiplantae; Streptophyta; Magnoliopsida; Poales; Poaceae
Source: Rfam
UAAGUACUCCCUCCGUCCCAUAUUAAAUGACUCAAAUUUGUCUAAAUAUGGACGUAUCUGUAUACUAAAACACGGCUAGAUACACGUAAUAGAAAGUCACUUAAUAUGGGACGGAGAGAGUACUAA